UACGGAGGAUGCGAGCGUUAUCCGGAUUUAUUGGGUUUAAAGGGUGCGCAGGCGGCACGGCAAGCCGGCGGUCAAAUCGCGGGGCUCAACCCCGCCCAGCCGUCGGAACUGCCGGGCUAGAGUGGGCGAGAAGUGCGCGGAAUGCGUGGUGUAGCGGUGAAAUGCAUAGAUAUCACGCAGAACUCCGAUUGCGAAGGCAGCGCACCGGCGCCCUACUGACGCUCAGGCACGAAGGCGUGGGUAUCGAACAGG
RNAcentral lists this ribosomal RNA (252 nucleotides) under uncultured bacterium. RNAcentral describes it as "partial 16S ribosomal RNA". It matches the Rfam family "Bacterial small subunit ribosomal RNA", at positions 524 to 776 of the family's 1533-position model. The record is from RNAcentral.